Molecule: ribosomal RNA, 733 nt
Filed under: Micromitrium tenerum
Lineage: Eukaryota; Viridiplantae; Streptophyta; Bryopsida; Dicranales; Micromitriaceae
Description: eukaryotic LSU rRNA
Rfam family: Eukaryotic large subunit ribosomal RNA
Source: RNAcentral
UUACUAAGCGGAGAAAGAAACUAACCAGGAUUUCCCUAGUAACGGCGAGCGAACCGGAAAGAGCCCAGCUUGAAAAUCGGGGUGCCUCGCACCCCGAAUUGUAGUCUGGAGAAGCAUCCUCUGCAGCGCACCGGACCCAAGUCCCCUGGAAAGGGGCGUCAGAGAGGGUGACAACCCCGUCGAGUCCGGACCGUGCUGCUCCACGAGGUGCUAUCGACGAGUCGGGCUGUUUGGGAAUGCAGCCCUAAGUGGGUGGUAAAUUCCAUCCAAGGCUAAAUAUUGGCAGGAGACCGAUAGCGAACAAGUACCGCGAGGGAAAGAUGAAAAGGACUUUGAAAAGAGAGUUAAAAAGUGCUUGAAAUUGCUGGGAGGGAAGCGAAUGGAAGCUGCGGGUGCGCCCCGGUUGGAUGUGGAACGGCUUCGGCUGGUCCGCCGCUCAACGCGGGGCGCUGGUCAGCGUGGGCUGCCGCGGCGGGACAAGAGCGGGGAUGAGUUCCCCGUCUAUGCCGUUGCGGCGGCCGAGGAACGAAGCAUGCGGCCCCCUCGGGGGCCGUGGGACUCGUCCCAACUGCGUGCUCGGGACGCUGGCGUAUUGAGCUCUUCAUCCGACCCGUCUUGAAACACGGACCAAGGAGUCUAACAUGUAUGCGAGCCGGUGGGCGGCAAACCCAUUGAGGCGCAAGUAAACUGACAGGUGGGACCCCUCUACCAAGGGAGCACCAUCGACCGACCG